RNAcentral lists this ribosomal RNA (253 nucleotides) under uncultured bacterium. RNAcentral's name for it is "partial 16S ribosomal RNA". It matches the Rfam family "Bacterial small subunit ribosomal RNA", at positions 524 to 776 of the family's 1533-position model. The record is from RNAcentral.
GACAGAGGGUGCAAACGUUGUUCGGAAUUACUGGGCGUAAAGCGCGUGUAGGCUGCUCGGAAAGUCGGAUGUGAAAGCCCUGGGCUCAACCUAGGAAGUGCAUUCGAAACUUCCGAGCUGGAGUACUGGGGAGGAAGGCGGAAUUCUCGGUGUAGAGGUGAAAUUCGUAGAUAUCGAGAGGAACACCGGUGGCGAAGGCGGCCUUCUGGACAGUGACUGACGCUGAGACGCGAAAGCGUGGGGAGCAAACAGG